GGCAUUAUUUGUUUGACAAAAUAACAUUGUGCACUUGAUGUCAUUAAACCCAUUUUACAGAUUGAGAAACCGGAAAAUACUGAUUUCGUGCACACACAGUGAGAGGAGAGGUACAAAGCUGGAGUAGGCGAGGGGCAGUAAGAGGAAGUAACAACUGUGCUAAUUCUUGAAAAGUGAUUUGGUUUUGCCAGAUGUACAUUGGAAAGAAGGAAUCUUGGGCAGUGAAAAGAGGGAGUUAAGAUCUGGAGCCAAGCCACAGUUCAUUCCAUAUGCCAAGAAGGAGAUUGGACAGGGUUGCAGGGGCCAAAUCCUGAAGGACUUUUUAUGACAUUUUGAAAUACAUGCCAUUGGAAAUACAGAGUCACUACAUAAUUUUAGUUAAGAACAGUGCUCAUUAACAGUUCCACUUCAGAGUGAUCAGCUUGGCUUUGGAGGGAAUAUACUGGAGUCAUGAGAUGUUGGAAGGAGAUAUGACAGGUAGAAAAUUAGUACAAUAAUUCAGGAAAAAGAUAAUAUGGGUGUGAUUCAAGAUGGUAGCAGAGAAAAUGAAGAAGAAGGUAUUAAUAUAGAAAAUGAUAAAGAGGUAUAAUUGAUAGGAAUUGAUCGUAAAUUUAAUUGAGGAAAGGAGUGAGGAAAAACUAAGC
This 644-nucleotide long non-coding RNA is filed under the name Homo sapiens (human). RNAcentral describes it as "non-protein coding lnc-EFR3A-8:1". The record is from RNAcentral. Lineage: Eukaryota; Metazoa; Chordata; Mammalia; Primates; Hominidae.